Long non-coding RNA from Lycium ferocissimum, 236 nucleotides. RefSeq lists it as uncharacterized. The transcript is spliced from 2 exons. NCBI's taxonomy places the organism in Eukaryota, Viridiplantae, Streptophyta, Magnoliopsida, Solanales, Solanaceae. The record is from RefSeq and is a predicted model, not a curated record.
GACACAAAUUUAUGCCUUCACUGAGUUAUUUUCUCAAUCUAGACACCACAACUAUAGCCAAAGCAUCAAAAAUGUUGGAAAUUCUGCAAGUACUUCGCUCACCUGUUGCUUACAUGGUGCCACUGCCAAUUGGAAACCCAUGGGAAUUCACUUCCAAGGGGAUAUACUUAUGGACAUCCUCAACAGGUUACCCGUGCGGUCUCUUCUUCAAUUCAAUUGUGUUUCAAAAUUUUGGG